Molecule: long non-coding RNA, 505 nt
Organism: Stegodyphus dumicola
Lineage: Eukaryota; Metazoa; Arthropoda; Arachnida; Araneae; Eresidae
Source: RefSeq, a predicted model, not a curated record
AUACAGUGCUAUAGCUGCUUGCUGCCAGAUGAAUAAUGGAAAUACAAUUGCAGAUGCCUACUCGUCUACUGCCAACAUUUGUCUCCCUAACGGGCGUUCUUUCACUCGAUGGUGGCAGAAACGCGGCAAAACCGACUCGUCUACGAUAAACAGACGAUGCUCCCGCUCUCCAUCAACAGUCUGCAACAAUAACAAUAGUCAAAAGCCAGUUACUUUUACAGCUUUACGAUUUCUUUGGCUUCAUUUUCAUCGAAGAAAAUGCUGUAAAAUUGUCGAUAACUCCUGACCAGAGCUGAUAACAGCAAGCAUUUAGUGCUGAUGAAUGCACGCUGAACCGUAUAUAAAUGGAAUCCACCAAGGAUUUACGAUAAAAUAAAUACCUGAGAUGGAAGGAACGUGAAUGCUAGGAAGGAAAGUGCAUUGUACACCAGAUUAAAGACCAGAAGUUCCAGGAAAAGAGCAUGUUGCACCCGGUCUUGGUAUCUCCUGAAAAGUUGCUGAGAUU